Molecule: ribosomal RNA, 330 nt
Filed under: Myrmeleon fasciatus group sp. 193-MyspSb2
Lineage: Eukaryota; Metazoa; Arthropoda; Insecta; Neuroptera; Myrmeleontidae
Description: partial 28S ribosomal RNA
Rfam family: Eukaryotic large subunit ribosomal RNA (bases 43-330)
Source: RNAcentral
AUUUUUUCAUCGAAAUAUUAAUAAAUUUUAUGAAACCCAAAGGCAAAAUGAAAGUAAAAUAAUUUUUUUUUUUUUAAUUAAUUUAUUUAAAUGAAAAUUUGAGGGAGGAUAUAUUUUUAUUAUGUAUUGAAUAUCGCACUCCCAGGGCAUCUUAUACUAUUCUUAUAAUUAUUUUAUAUUUUUUAUUAUGAAUAAAGGUGCACCUAUAGCGUACACGCUGGGACCCGAAAGAUGGUGAACUAUGCCUGGUCAGGACGAAGUCAGGGGAAACCCUGAUGGAGGUCCGUAGCGAUUCUGACGUGCAAAUCGAUCGUCGGAACGGGUAUAGGG